CAAACACUUCAACAUAGACGUGCUUAAAGUAGCAUCCUCCAGCGGUUAAAGCAUAAAGUAUGCGUUGCUUGCGGAAGAACAUUGUUUUGCGCGAGUUGUGCUUCGGCUCCGAUAUUCAGCGCGGAUGAAUUUAAUGUCUUUGUAAACAUAUAGCUACAGAUGAUAGUUGUAUUAGUGCUAAUAUAACUAACGACAUCAAAACUCUAUGAAAAUAUGUCUUAUGAGCAGAUAUGACAUUAACAAGCAUGGAGGAAUUAUGAAAUAAUGAUUUCCCGGGAAAUCCAUCCUGAUGACUGAAAAAUAGUGCAACUUGCCAUAGUGACUUGAGCAUUGGCCUCCUCCACUAUUGACAGGAAUCUGUUGAUCUGAUCAAACGUUGGCGCGCAGAAGUCGUGAAUCCUGAUGUGAUGAAGGGUCAGGUCAGGACAGGUGUCAUGGUAAGGAGGUUUGCGC
Molecule: long non-coding RNA, 453 nt
Organism: Carassius auratus (goldfish)
Lineage: Eukaryota; Metazoa; Chordata; Actinopteri; Cypriniformes; Cyprinidae
Exons: 3
Source: RefSeq, a predicted model, not a curated record